This 253-nucleotide ribosomal RNA is filed under the name uncultured bacterium. Its description in RNAcentral is "partial 16S ribosomal RNA". It matches the Rfam family "Bacterial small subunit ribosomal RNA", at positions 524 to 776 of the family's 1533-position model. The record is from RNAcentral.
GACAGAGGGUGCGAGCGUUGUCCGGAAUUAUUGGGCGUAAAGAGCUCGUAGGCGGUUUGUCGCGUCUGCUGUGAAAACUCGGGGCUUAACUCCGGGCCUGCAGUGGGUACGGGCAGACUAGAGUGCGGUAGGGGAGACUGGAAUUCCUGGUGUAGCGGUGAAAUGCGCAGAUAUCAGGAGGAACACCGGUGGCGAAGGCGGGUCUCUGGGCCGUAACUGACGCUGAGGAGCGAAAGCGUGGGGAGCGAACAGG